This 253-nucleotide ribosomal RNA is filed under the name uncultured bacterium. RNAcentral describes it as "partial 16S ribosomal RNA". It matches the Rfam family "Bacterial small subunit ribosomal RNA", at positions 524 to 776 of the family's 1533-position model. The record is from RNAcentral.
UACGGGGGGAGCAAGCGUUGUCCGGAUUCAUUGGGCGUAAAGAGCGCGCAGGCGGUCGAUCAAGUCGAGUGUGAAAGCCCCCGGCUCAACUGGGGAGGGUCAUUCGAUACUGAUCGACUCGAAGGCAGGAGAGGGUAGUGGAAUUCCCGGUGUAGUGGUGAAAUGCGUAGAUAUCGGGAGGAACACCAGUGGCGAAGGCGACUACCUGGCCUGUUCUUGACGCUGAGGCGCGAAAGCUAGGGGAGCAAACGGG